GUCAAUCGCAGCUUACCAUGCAGUCGAGCGCACUCUUCGGAGUGAGCGGCGGACGGGUUAGUAACGCGUGGGAACGUGCCCUUCUCUAAGGAAUAGCCACUGGAAACGGUGAGUAAUACCUUAUACGCCCUUCGGGGGAAAGAUUUAUCGGAGAAGGAUCGGCCCGCGUUAGAUUAGAUAGUUGGUGGGGUAAUGGCCUACCAAGUCUACGAUCUAUAGCUGGUUUUAGAGGAUGAUCAGCAACACUGGGACUGAGACACGGCCCAGACUCCUACGGGAGGCAGCAGUGGGGAAUCUUGGACAAUGGGCGCAAGCCUGAUCCAGCCAUGCCGCGUGAGUGAUGAAGGCCUUAGGGUCGUAAAGCUCUUUCGCCAGAGAUGAUAAUGACAGUAUCUGGUAAAGAAACCCCGGCUAACUCCGUGCCAGCAGCCGCGGUAAUACGGAGGGGGUUAGCGUUGUUCGGAAUUACUGGGCGUAAAGCGCACGUAGGCGGAUCAGAAAGUAUAGGGUGAAAUCCCAGGGCUCAACCCUGGAACUGCCUUGUAAACUCCUGGUCUUGAGUUCGAGAGAGGUGAGUGGAAUUCCGAGUGUAGAGGUGAAAUUCGUAGAUAUUCGGAGGAACACCAGUGGCGAAGGCGGCUCACUGGCUCGAUACUGACGCUGAGGUGCGAAAGUGUGGGGAGCAAACAGGAUUAGAUACCCUGGUAGUC
Molecule: ribosomal RNA, 710 nt
Filed under: Phaeobacter sp.
Lineage: Bacteria; Pseudomonadati; Pseudomonadota; Alphaproteobacteria; Rhodobacterales; Roseobacteraceae
Description: bacterial SSU rRNA
Rfam family: Bacterial small subunit ribosomal RNA
Source: RNAcentral